UUAGAGUUUGAUCAUGGCUCAGGAUGAACGCUAGCGGGAGGCCUAAUACAUCGCAAGCCGAACGGUAACAGGGCAGAACUUCGGUUCAGCCGCUGACGAGUGGCGCACGGGUGAGUAACGCGUACAUAACCUGCCUUCAAGAGAGGGAUAGCCCUGGGAAACCGGGAUUAAUACCUCAUAGUAUUGCUAAGUCGCAUGGCUGUGCAAUUAAAGUUUCGGCGCUUGAAGAUGGAUGUGCGUGCCAUUAGCUAGUUGGUAAGGUAACGGCUUACCAAGGCAACGAUGGCUAGGGGGCGUGAGAGCGUGACCCCCCACACGGGUACUGAGACACGGACUCGACUCCUACGGGAGGCAGCAGUAAGGAAUAUUGGACAAUGGAGGCAACUCUGAUCCAGCCAUCCCGCGUGCAGGAUGACUGCCCUACGGGUUGUAAACUGCUUUUAUUUGGGAAGAAACCUGUUUAUUUACUGAACAGUUGACGGUACCUUAUGAAUAAGCACCGGCUAACUCCGUGCCAGCAGCCGCGGUAAUACGGAGGGUGCAAGCGUUAUCCGGAAUCACUGGGUUUAAAGGGAGCGUAGGCGGCAUGAUAAGUCAGAGGUGAAAGGCUGUAGCUUAACUAUGGAAUUGCCUUUGAUACUGUUGUGCUUGAAUCGAGUUGAGGUCAGCAGAAUGUGACAUGUAGCGGUGAAAUGCAUAGAUAUGUCAUAGAAUACCAAUUGUGAAGACAGCUGGCUGGACUUGUAUUGACGCUGAGGCUCGAAAGCGUGGGGAGCAAACAGGAUUAGAUACCCUGGUAGUCCACGCCCUAAACGAUGUUUACUCGAUGUUGGCUUUUGAAGUCAGCGUCCAAGGAAACCAUUAAGUAACCACCUGGGGAGUACGUCGGCACGAUGAACUCAAGGAUUGACGGGGUCGCACAGCGUGAGCAUGUGUUUAUUCGAUGAUAC
Molecule: ribosomal RNA, 950 nt
Filed under: uncultured bacterium
Lineage: Bacteria
Description: bacterial SSU rRNA
Rfam family: Bacterial small subunit ribosomal RNA
Source: RNAcentral